GAGGAAUAUUGGGCAAUGCCCGCAAGGGUGACCCAGCAACGCCGCGUGGAGGAUGAAUGUCGUAAGAUUGUAAAUUCCCAUUAGAUGGGAAAUGAUGGUACUUCUGAAGUAAGCUCCGGCUAACUACGUGCCAGCAGCCGCGGUAAUACGUAGGGAGCAAGCGUUGUCCGGAUUUACUGGGUGUAAAGGGUGCUCAGGCGGAUUUGUAAGUCAGAGGUGAAAUCUCACAGCUUAACUGUGAAACUGCCUUUGAUACUGCAAGCCUAGAGUAUGGAAGAGAGUGAUGGAAUAUCUGGUGUAGCAGUGAAAUGCGUAGAUAUCAGAUAGAACACCAAUGGCGAAGGCAGUCACUUGGUCCAUUACUGACGCUAAAGCACGAAAGCGUGGGUAGCAAACA
RNAcentral lists this ribosomal RNA (397 nucleotides) under uncultured bacterium. Its description in RNAcentral is "bacterial SSU rRNA". It matches the Rfam family "Bacterial small subunit ribosomal RNA", at positions 356 to 774 of the family's 1533-position model. The record is from RNAcentral.